AAUAAGCGGAGGAAAAGAAACUAACAAGGAUUCCCCUAGUAACGGCGAGUGAAGUGGGAAAAGCUCAACUUUGAAAUCUGGUACUUUCAGUAUCCGAAUUGUAGUCUCAAGAAGUGUUUUCUGUGCCGGUCCAUGUAUGAGUCUGUUGGAACACAGCGUCAUAGAGGGUGACAACCCCGUUCAUGACAUGGAUCCCGGUGCUUUGUGAUACACUCUCGAAGAGUCGAGUUGUUUGGGAAUGCAGCUCAAAUUGGGUGGUAAAUUCCAUCUAAAGCUAAAUAUUGGCGAGAGACCGAUAGCAAACAAGUACCGUGAGGGAAAGAUGAAAAGCACUUUGGAAAGAGAGUUAACAGUACGUGAAAUUGUUGAAAGGGAAACGAUUGAAGUCAGACGUGCGUGAUGCGGUUCAGCUUUAGUUCGCUAGAGUGUACUCCGUAUCUUUGCAGGCCAACAUCGGUUUUGUUAGUCGGAUAAAGGUUUGAGAAAUGUGGCACCUUCGGGUGUGUUAUAGUCUCAGACUGAAUACGAUUGAUGGGACCGAGGAACGCAGCGCGCCGCAAGGCAAAGGUU
This 570-nucleotide ribosomal RNA is filed under the name Cystobasidium laryngis. RNAcentral describes it as "partial large subunit ribosomal RNA". It matches the Rfam family "Eukaryotic large subunit ribosomal RNA", at positions 45 to 618 of the family's 3401-position model. Lineage: Eukaryota; Fungi; Basidiomycota; Cystobasidiomycetes; Cystobasidiales; Cystobasidiaceae. The record is from RNAcentral.